This 71-nucleotide microRNA precursor is filed under the name Microtus ochrogaster (prairie vole). Its description in RNAcentral is "miRNA (ENSMOCG00000009153.1)". The record is from RNAcentral. Lineage: Eukaryota; Metazoa; Chordata; Mammalia; Rodentia; Cricetidae.
UAUGUGCAGGUGUGCAUAUACUUGUGUGUGCAUGUACAUGUGUGUGGAGGCCAUACAUUGACAUCAGAUCC